This 467-nucleotide ribosomal RNA is filed under the name uncultured bacterium. Its description in RNAcentral is "partial 16S ribosomal RNA". It matches the Rfam family "Bacterial small subunit ribosomal RNA", at positions 29 to 507 of the family's 1533-position model. The record is from RNAcentral.
ACGCACGCUGGCGGCGUGCUUAACCCAUGCAAGUCGAACGGAAAGGCCCUGCUUUUGUGGGGUGCUCGAGUGGCGAACGGGUGAGUAACACGUGAGUAACCUGCCCUUGACUUUGGGAUAACUUCAUGAAACUGGGGCUAAUACCGGAUAGGAGCUCCUGCCGCAUGGUGGGGGUUGGAAAGUUUCGGCGGUUGGGGAUGGACUCGCGGCUUAUCAGCUUGUUGGUGGGGUAGUGGCUUACCAAGGCUUUGACGGGUAGCCGGCCUGAGAGGGUGACCGGCCACAUUGGGACUGAGAUACGGCCCAGACUCCUACGGGAGGCAGCAGUGGGGAAUAUUGCACAAUGGGCGGAAGCCUGAUGCAGCAACGCCGCGUGCGGGAUGACGGCCUUCGGGUUGUAAACCGCUUUCGCCUGUGACGAAGCGUGAGUGACGGUAAUGGGUAAAGAAGCACCGGCUAACUACGUG